AUACGGAGGAUCCGAGCGUUAUCCGGAUUUAUUGGGUUUAAAGGGAGCGUAGGUGGAUUGUUAAGUCAGUUGUGAAAGUUUGCGGCUCAACCGUAAAAUUGCAGUUGAAACUGGCAGUCUUGAGUACAGUAGAGGUGGGCGGAAUUCGUGGGGUAGCGGUGAAAUGCUUAGAUAUCACGAAGAACUCCGAUUGCGAAGGCAGCUCACUAGACAGUUACUGACACUGAUGCUCGAAAGUGUGGGUAUCAAACAGGAUUAGAUACCCUGGUAGUCCACACAGUAAACGAUGAAUACUCGCUGUUUGCGAUAUACAGUAAGCGGCCAAGCGAAAGCAUUAAGUAUUCCACCUGGGGAGUACGCCGGCAACGGUGAAACUCAAAUGAAUUGACGGGG
Molecule: ribosomal RNA, 393 nt
Filed under: uncultured bacterium
Lineage: Bacteria
Description: partial 16S ribosomal RNA
Rfam family: Bacterial small subunit ribosomal RNA
Source: RNAcentral